CAAACGGGUGCGGAACACGUACGCAACCUUCCUUUAACUGGAGAAUAGCCCCUCGAAAGAGGGAUUAAUACUCCGUAACAUAUUGAUAAGGCAUCUUAUUAAUAUUAUAGCUCCGGCGGUUAAAGAUGGGCGUGCGCCUGAUUAGGUAGUUGGCGGGGUAACGGCCCACCAAGCCUGCGAUCAGUAACUGGUGUGAGAGCACGACCAGUCACACGGGCACUGAGACACGGGCCCG
Molecule: ribosomal RNA, 235 nt
Filed under: uncultured bacterium
Lineage: Bacteria
Description: partial 16S ribosomal RNA
Rfam family: Bacterial small subunit ribosomal RNA
Source: RNAcentral